UCACACGUGACCAAAAGCGGCUCUCUCACUUUCAGCGAAUGGAGUGCUCGUAUACGCCUCCUCAAGAAAAUCAAUUCCUCAUUAUUCUGGUAUUCACACGAUCAUCAAGCCGGCUCAUCUCAGCUCUAAACGAAAAUGCGAAAAAGCUCAAAUCGAAAACAUAAACUCACCUUCUGCGCCGGCGAGUUUCCUUCGUUGACCGUUUGGAUCAAUGUGUCCCUCACCCUAACUUCUUCAAUUAGUGUCGCCUGCGUCGUGGUUGCACGAUUGCAUUCUGUCGAAUCCAGAUGAAGAUUGUUGCAUUUGCAUCGUGAUUGUAGACGACGAGUGAAGUGUUGAUGAUUCACGACGAAAAGCGAAGAUGGUUGCUGAGUUCUUGAAGAGUGAAGAGGAUGCUUCCGAAGCUUUGCCGGUGAAUCCAAAUUUGGCGAAGAUUCUGUUAUUAAGAGUUGAGGAAAGAUGAAGUUAGAGAGGAUUUUGGGGUGGUUCUUUCAUGUUCGAAGGAUGAUUGGGAAAGCUGUUUAUUGGGAGGGAUUCGGAGAGAGGAUGAGAAGCUGAACGAGAGUGUGCAUGAAGAUGGAAAUCUCAAGAGUGUGGCUUGAAGAAUGACUUGAGGUGGCGACGAAGAAGAAGAUUGAAAACUCUCUAAAAAAACAUUCUGCAGUGAGGUAUGCCCUUUUAUAGGUUUCAAAGUUAGUUCGAAACUUGAUGAAGUUCGAUGGUUAUUCAGUUAGAAAUCUCAGUUGAAAAAACGGACUUUUCUGUUAUGAAAGUGGUUAUAGUUUGUUAGAGUUUGUGGAUUGGUUGUUAUGUUAGUUACGAACGGUUACGUUAGUUACAGAAUUCUGUAUUGGUUUUAUUGUAUUAGUGGAAACUGUUAGUUAGAGUUUGUUAUCAUUCAGUUAGGAUGAGGGAAGUCAUAGGUUGAAGAACUACGUUAGAAGAGGGUGAUUUUGAAGUUAGUUGGAAGGGGAAGUUAGAACUAGUUCAGAAUUUCUGUUUUUUUUAUGGAUUAUUAACAAGUUUUAUUGAUGCUUGUUCUGUUACAAUACUUUGCAUUGUCAUGAUUUAACUGCUAUGUACUGCUAUAACUGUUGCUAUCUCUUUCCUAAACAAAAAAUCGUGUAGCCAGGAUUUGUAGCAAACUGCUCAUACGCAUUCAAUACUUGUAGAGUGCCUACUGUCGAGCGAAGAGGUAGAGAAAGUGCGGCCUUCAAUCUUGCUCACAAGGUGUUCGAGAAAUCCUUUAACCAAUGUUUUGCUACCUUUUCUUGAUUCUGGCUUAAACUUAUACUUCUUACUGCUUGAAUUUUUGUCAUUGUACGACUGUUGCUAGUUAUGUUCACAUCGCAGCUUGUGAAUUGUUGCUUCUCACUUCUUCCGUCAUAACUCAGAAUGAGUUACUUCAAUUUGUCAACUUUAUGAAGUGGUUGAAUGGUGAACUAGCUAAGAAGGAUAUGGAUGAUGCAUGUUUGGCUUGUAGCAUAACAUUGGAGUCCUGUAGGUGUGAUGUAGAAUUGGUUAAUUGCUGCAGAAUUUUGGACAUGGCAUGCUCCUGUACAUAACAGGUGGUAUGUUCAUGGAUCAUUGUAAGGAGACACUCAUAAUGAAAGGAGGCGAGGCUUGACCAAAAUGUUUCAACAUGGCUUGGCAAGGCAUGGUAUGACAUCAAGUUUGAAGAAUUUUUUGAAUGAUAAUUGUAAAUGACAAUGUGAAUUGGUUUGAAGAUGUAUGGUUCAUGUAUUUGGAAAUCAAACAUGUAUGGCUUAUGUGAUUAGUAACUUAACAUGGUUGAAAUUGUUUGUAACUUUGAAAUUGAAUGGUGGUUUUUAAAUGAACACGUGAAUUGAAAUGGUUUAUGUA
Lathyrus oleraceus (garden pea) is the source of this 1863-nucleotide long non-coding RNA. RefSeq lists it as uncharacterized. The transcript is spliced from 3 exons. The record is from RefSeq and is a predicted model, not a curated record. Lineage: Eukaryota; Viridiplantae; Streptophyta; Magnoliopsida; Fabales; Fabaceae.